CCAUCCAACCUGGCCUUGAACACCUCCAAGGACGGGGCAUCCACAACCUCUCUGGGCAGGACUUCACUUGGACAUCUCACGGGAGGGAGGUGAAUGAGCUUAUUGUUGGAGCUAGCUGCCUCAGGAUCUGGCUGGAAAAGAUGUAUCCAAGGGGUGCUCUACUGGAAGGGGAAGAUGGAGGAUGUUGAGCCUACAGCAUCAGCUCCUCCCUUCCUGCUAAAGGCCCUACUGGGGAGGAGAGGACAUACCAUGCUUCAUGGCAGUUGCCUGCCUUCAGCUAUGAUGAAGGUUUUACAGCCUUACGGAUUGGAAGGAGAAAGGUCCCUUGAGACACCUCUUCCCGCUCCAGGUCCCACCGUUCAUCACAGCAUGGGCCUGGCCCAAUGGAUCACCUUCAUGGCCCUCCUCUGCUCACUCGACCUGCCUUUCUCGAUGGUGCUUCUCGCAUGGAUUAAAAACAUUUUAAAUAUGUAUCAUUUUUGCGCUCUCUGCAUAUCUGCGCCUUUCAUAUCCACAUCUUAAAUUCAUCCCCUCUCUGUCAGUUGUUUGUAAAUGUCCCCAGGUGUUUAACUCUUAUUCCCUCAAUCCUCCCAGCUAUUGUUGGCGAAUAUGGCUGUUACAUAUUCCUGCUAUUUCUGAAAGGUCAAAAGAAAACGUAAAAGUGCCAUUUCUUUUCUUUUCUCCCUUCAAAGCUGCAAAAUGAAAUGCUGUGCUUGUGCAGUCCCCUUUGCUCUUAUGCAAAGACUCUUUUUCAGUACACCUUAUAUUGUAUUUACUGCAAGUGUUCAGGAUGCAAAAUUAUUUCCUCAAAUUAUUAGAAAUGAGAAGCUGUAAUAGCCUUUUACUCUGUUUCAGAACAUACCUCUCUAUCACAACAGUCUAUUUUCUACACUUUGCUCUCAUCUUCCUGCAACCCAUCUUACAAAUGAGAUGUAAAAUUGUGGCUCCGGAUGCUCAUGGACCCAACCCUGCAGCAUUUACGCACCUGUUUAAGUUGAAUCAUGUGAGGUUUUCAUAGUGGAUUGAAUGUGUGCAAUGGUGAAUACUUGAACUAUGGAAAUUACUCCAAAGCAGUUUGCAGUUCUUAAAGAGCAAUGCAUUAAACUGGGAUGCGCUGCCUGCUCAUCAGACAGUUCUGGACAGAAUGCUGUAAAGGAUGGACUUGGAGCAAACGGAGAGUAAAAUGUGCUCCUGUGCUCAGUACCUUUAUGCUCACUCCUUGCUACUGCUAUUGUACAAGUCCUGAUCGUACACUAUUUAGCCCUCAGCAAUGCAACAGAAUCCCCAGGUUUUCAGUACGGAGCUGCACUUGGGGAUGCUAACAAAGCCUCAUUAAUUGAUUACAAAACAGUUCAGCACUCUGCACUGUUCCUGCAUUGCCUACAGAGCUGGCAGCCUCCUUGCUCAAAGCCCAGCUGUGUGCCCAGGGUCCGGUCCUUGCCUUUAAAGCCCAACCAGCUGAAAGAUGACCUUUCUCUCUGACCUACAUUUUUCAUAGGAAUAAAGCAACAGAUGACUCCAAGCAGCACCUCACAGCUCUUUAUGCAAACCCCUAGCAAUGGAGCUCCCCAGUGAAAGGCAUUGAGCUUAGCUCAUAGCUCUCCCUGCGAGGGAGAUAGCUAAUAGCAGCGUUGCCAUUGCCUUAUGCAGAAGCAGAGUCAAAUCCCAGCAUGUCUUUUAACACCAGUUACUCCUCAACAUCUCAGCAAACCAGGCAUCCUUUCCCCUAAAAAAGCUUCCAUCCCAUCACACCGUGAACAAUCCCCACUUUUUGCUCAGCAUCCUUUGAGCUUUCCAUUCUUGCACGUCGCCACCGAAACAGAAAGAUCAGACAAAAGAAGCUGAGCCACCACCUGGGACGAAGCUGAAAGAGAUGCAGGAGCAGAUAUCUCCAUCUGCAUUCUCGAGGAUUUGUGAGCAGCGGGAACCAGCUGCAGUGCUCCCUGAGAUGCAGGGAUCCUACAUCUCAGGAGGCCCCAGUGGCACCUGCAAGGUCACCCCUGCUCAGCAUGCUGUGGGGCUCCAAAUAUGGUGAGCAAAAGGAGCCCGGAAAGAAUAAAGCAGAAGAAAAAUGAGCGUUUCCUCAGAUGUAUGCAGAAGGUAAAUUAUGGGGCUACUUAAAUUGUCUAAAAUCACUUUCUCUCCAGG
This is a long non-coding RNA of Lagopus leucura (white-tailed ptarmigan), 2148 nucleotides long. RefSeq lists it as uncharacterized. The record is from RefSeq and is a predicted model, not a curated record. The transcript has 4 exons. NCBI's taxonomy places the organism in Eukaryota, Metazoa, Chordata, Aves, Galliformes, Phasianidae.